UUUGGAAGAAGCUUAGAUGUCCUUAGAACUUUGUUCGGCACACAGCCAAUUCCGGCAUGGACGCCGGAAUAGCCGCCAUGCAGGCACGGAUGACUGCUUGGCGGCGGUGGCGAACAUAUAAUGUAUGUUUAUCAAAAUUCUUAGGACAUCUUGCUUCGAACAAC
Firmicutes bacterium CAG:882 is the source of this 164-nucleotide regulatory RNA element. NCBI's taxonomy places the organism in Bacteria, Bacillati, Bacillota. The record is from Rfam.